This 492-nucleotide ribosomal RNA is filed under the name uncultured bacterium. RNAcentral describes it as "partial 16S ribosomal RNA". It matches the Rfam family "Bacterial small subunit ribosomal RNA", at positions 29 to 507 of the family's 1533-position model. The record is from RNAcentral.
AGUGAACGCUGGCGGUAGACCUAACACAUGCAAGUCGAACGGCAGCACAGUAAGAGCUUGCUCUUACGGGUGGCGAGUGGCGGACGGGUGAGGAAUACAUCGGAAUCUACUUUUUCGUGGGGGAUAACGUAGGGAAACUUACGCUAAUACCGCAUACGACCUACGGGUGAAAGCAGGGGAUCUUCGGACCUUGCGCGAUUGAAUGAGCCGAUGUCGGAUUAGCUAGUUGGCGGGGUAAAGGCCCACCAAGGCGACGAUCCGUAGCUGGUCUGAGAGGAUGAUCAGCCACACUGGAACUGAGACACGGUCCAGACUCCUACGGGAGGCAGCAGUGGGGAAUAUUGGACAAAGGGCGCAAGCCUGAUCCAGCCAUACCGCGUGGGUGAAGAAGGCCUUCGGGUUGUAAAGCCCUUUUGUUGGGAAAGAAAAGCAGCAGGUUAAUACCCCGCUGUUCUGACGGUACCCAAAGAAUAAGCACCGGCUAACUUCGUG